RNAcentral lists this transfer RNA (88 nucleotides) under [Eubacterium] nodatum. Its description in RNAcentral is "tRNA-Ser(cga)". It matches the Rfam family "tRNA". Rfam says of the family: Transfer RNA (tRNA) molecules are approximately 80 nucleotides in length. Their secondary structure includes four short double-helical elements and three loops (D, anti-codon, and T loops). RNAcentral also lists the same sequence under 1 other name. Lineage: Bacteria; Bacillati; Bacillota; Clostridia; Peptostreptococcales; Anaerovoracaceae. The record is from RNAcentral.
GGAGAGUUGUCAGAGUGGUCGAUCGUGCAGCACUCGAAAUGCUGUGUCCGUAACCGGACCCAGGGUUCGAAUCCCUGACUCUCCGCCA